RNAcentral lists this long non-coding RNA (296 nucleotides) under Glycine max (soybean). RNAcentral describes it as "long non-coding RNA (GMAX_LNC001005)". The record is from RNAcentral. Lineage: Eukaryota; Viridiplantae; Streptophyta; Magnoliopsida; Fabales; Fabaceae.
AAGAAGCAAAGGACUACAUUGAUGAAGAAGAUCCAAGGCCUACAAGCUCCACAUGGAGCUACAUCAACCUCCUCAACCAAUAACACCAUUUGUUGAUCCAACACCACCACUACCAUCUUCACCACCACCUAUGCAACUGAUGGAUUUCCCCUACGAUUAUUUUUUGUUCCACUUUUUCUUCAUACAAAUAUAUUCAAGGGAAACCCGAUUUGCCGGAAAGUGCACCGGAUCGUCAAGUAUUUAAAAAUUAAAAUGGAUAAAUCCAAGUAUCGAACUCAGGGAAACUAGUCUAAGAC